UUAUUUGAGAGUUUGAUCCUGGCUCAGGAUGAACGCUGGCGGCGUGCCUAACACAUGCAAGUUGAGCGAUUUACUUCGGUAAAGAGCGGCGGACGGGUGAGUAACGCGUGGGUAACCUACCCUGUACACACGGAUAACAUACCGAAAGGUAUGCUAAUACGGGAUAAUAUGUUUGAGAGGCAUCUCUUGAAUAUCAAAGGUGAGCCAGUACAGGAUGGACCCGCGUCUGAUUAGCUAGUUGGUAAGGUAACGGCUUACCAAGGCGACGAUCAGUAGCCGACCUGAGAGGGUGAUCGGCCACAUUGGAACUGAGACACGGUCCAAACUCCUACGGGAGGCAGCAGUGGGGAAUAUUGCACAAUGGGCGAAAGCCUGAUGCAGCAACGCCGCGUGAGUGAUGAAGGCCUUCGGGUCGUAAAACUCUGUCCUCAAGGAAGAUAAUGACGGUACUUGAGGAGGAAGCCCCGGCUAACUACGUGCCAGCAGCCGCGGUAAUACGUAGGGGGCUAGCGUUAUCCGGAUU
RNAcentral lists this ribosomal RNA (523 nucleotides) under Clostridioides difficile. RNAcentral describes it as "bacterial SSU rRNA". It matches the Rfam family "Bacterial small subunit ribosomal RNA", at positions 1 to 551 of the family's 1533-position model. Lineage: Bacteria; Bacillati; Bacillota; Clostridia; Peptostreptococcales; Peptostreptococcaceae. The record is from RNAcentral.